UACGUAGGGUGCAAGCGUUGUCCGGAAUUAUUGGGCGUAAAGAGCUCGUAGGCGGUCUGUCACGUCGGCUGUGAAAACCCGAGGCUCAACCUCGGGCCUGCAGUCGAUACGGGCAGACUAGAGUUCGGUAGGGGAGACUGGAAUUCCCGGUGUAGCGGUGAAAUGCGCAGAUAUCAGGAGGAACACCGGUGGCGAAGGCGGGUCUCUGGGCCGAAACUGACGCUGAGGAGCGAAAGCGUGGGGAGCGAACAGG
Molecule: ribosomal RNA, 253 nt
Filed under: uncultured bacterium
Lineage: Bacteria
Description: partial 16S ribosomal RNA
Rfam family: Bacterial small subunit ribosomal RNA
Source: RNAcentral